GAAGAAAAAUGAUAUGCAUACCAACAAAAUCAAGCGGAUAUCCUGACGAGUGUGCUCGUGGUGGUCGCUCAGAUCCCAGCCGUGCGUGGCGGCGGGCGUCCUCGUCGAGAUAGUGUCGUUGUAUACAUCAACUUCAUUUCCAACCCAUCCACAGGUGUACCAGCUCCUCUCUGUAUAUUGUUUGAUUUUUUCAUGUUCAAUUCAACUUUCGCUAAAAGAACUUCAAAAUCGAGCAGGGAUUGCUUGAUUUGUAGCCAAUGAUUUAAUUGUUCAUACUAUUUUGGUGUCUAGAAAUAGUAGUAAAACUACUAAUAUCGUAUUAGGGGCUACAACGCAGCAUGUAUUGUUUGUUUGAAUUAAUUUAUUUUCAUUGUAAUAGAGAGGAAGCAGUGAGUUUUGCUGGGGUUUUUUCCUGAAGGAACCGUGGUUUCUUUCAGGCCAUCUCCAUGGUAACACAGGGCCAGGGUUUUGGUGUAAGUAGCUCUAAAAUAUUAAUUAGACUGGUGAAUCUGACGGUUAUAGUGCUCCAUUCAAUUAUGAUUCACUAUCGCCGCUAUAUCAGAUGGAAGGUUUACAGUUUGGAGAUUGGAGCAUCCAAGAUAUUAUAUCAUAUUGUUCAUGAAAAGUUAUGCAAUAAGAAGUUAAGAACCACCCGAUAAUAUGGAAUCGCUGUAUGCCUUUUUACAGCAACUAGCAAGGAGCAAAAUAAUAUUUUUGAUGUUGCUUUGACUAAUUAAGUGAGGUCCUAACUUAAGUUGGCUAAUUUCUUUCAUACCCAUUAUAUGAUUGGCAUGUCCUAUUUCUCUCUUGGUUUCUUCUUCUUUCUUUUGUUGCUUCUUUGGAAUUUUGUUGGUGUAUUUUGGCUAUUUGUUGAGUGUUUGGUGCUUGGUUUUCAGUUGUUCACUUUCUUUUUCUUCCCCUUCUUUGAUUUUUCUUUUGGAUGAUCUUCUCCUAAUAGACACCAUAUGGUUUUUGUGUUGUUUCCAGGUACAGAUUUUGGUGUCAAUUCCUGGACCUUGCUGCCUGCAUGGCCAUCGGCAUAGCCAACCCGACGUGCCGGCGUUUAGCGCGGAUGGCCAGAUCUAUGCGGCAGAGAGCAUGGCCGAUGCUGGAAGGGAGGUCUUGCCGCCGGCCUCCAAGCAGUCGGUAGGCACAAUGGAUCCUAAAGCUCCAGGCUGGAUCAAAAGGGUGAGGAUUUGGGAGGAAGCCCCUGUUUAGACACCUUGUCCCAGUCAAGCACGAGCCGACGGCGGUGACACUGCAUAUGUUAUCCAGGAUCAUGCUCAAAGGUUGUGUCAUCGGCGACAAGAUCCACAAGAUGCCAUGGCGGUGGUUGCCCCGGGUGUUAAUGUAGAGGGCAGGAACCAGUAGCAGGUGAGCACCAAGAUCUCUGAAACUUUUUCUUCAAAAUACAGUAACCAAGCUGCGUUUGUUUCGUGCACAUACAUAAAUGGAUGGCUCUUCUUCUUGGAGCCCCAAGUUGUGGGAAAAAACCCCUAUUGCUACCACUUGCAGGAAAGCUCAACCAAAACCAAGAGAUGUACAUAUUUAUCCCCACAAGGCCACAAGACACAACUGUGUGUUGUAGGUAGCAUCAGAAAUUGAGUUGAAUGGGAUCAAGAUGGAGCGGUUUGUUUCCAAAAGGCACCACCUCUUUAAUUUUCUGCUGGACAAGCGGAUAACAUGCUCCGGUCCAAUUCGUGAUUGGUGUUGAUGCAUCUCUAAAUAAUCUAAUCAUUCUGUUUUGCUAGCUUGUGCCAUGCAUGUCAGUGAGUUCUGAUGUUUUUUGUACUCUUAUCAUGUUAUGUGUGUGUUUGUCUGAACUGCUAUGAGAUGGGCCGGUGGCAGGGUAACCAGAAUGUGUCUUUUUGCCUGUACAGUUCUUAUAGGAUUAUCCUUACUAUAUGUUUGAGUAAAACAACUCAAGUUCAUGUUUAUACUCAGUAGAAAUUAAAUAUGAGAUGUGCUUUCGAAUC
Molecule: long non-coding RNA, 1976 nt
Organism: Triticum aestivum (bread wheat)
Lineage: Eukaryota; Viridiplantae; Streptophyta; Magnoliopsida; Poales; Poaceae
Exons: 4
Source: RefSeq, a predicted model, not a curated record